Molecule: ribosomal RNA, 253 nt
Filed under: uncultured bacterium
Lineage: Bacteria
Description: partial 16S ribosomal RNA
Rfam family: Bacterial small subunit ribosomal RNA
Source: RNAcentral
UACGGAGGGUGCAAGCAUUAAUCGGAAUUAUUGGGCGUAAAGGGCGCGUAGGCGGCAAAACAAGUCAGAUGUGAAAUUCCGGAGCUCAACUUCGGAGCUGCAUUUGAAACUGUAUUGCUAGAGGGAUGGCGGAGAGAAUGGAAUUCCACGUGUAGCGGUGAAAUGCGUAGAUAUGUGGAAGAACACCAGUGGCGAAAGCGGUUUUCUAGCUAUAACCUGACGCUGAGGCGCGAGAGCAAGGGGAGCAAACAGG